RNAcentral lists this non-coding RNA (27 nucleotides) under Mus musculus (house mouse). Lineage: Eukaryota; Metazoa; Chordata; Mammalia; Rodentia; Muridae. The record is from RNAcentral.
UGGUAAAAUUCAGUUUGUCAUGGUAGG